This 1628-nucleotide long non-coding RNA is filed under the name Homo sapiens (human). RNAcentral describes it as "HSALNT0352034". The record is from RNAcentral. Lineage: Eukaryota; Metazoa; Chordata; Mammalia; Primates; Hominidae.
GCCUGGGCAACAGAGCGAGACUGCGUAUCAAAAAAAAAAAAAAAAAAAGAAUUUGGGUCAUCUCAAUUAAACAUAGAAUUUAAGAUUACAUUGAAAAUUCAGUACAGAGUAUUUUGCCUUCAUCUGUUGUUUGAGUCUCCCUUCUUUCAGCCAUCCUUCCAUCAGAAAUAGAAUACCAAGUUAAACUUCUUAAUUAGAAUCAGGAAUCAGGACUCUUUGGCUGCUGAUUGAAGGAAGAACUGUCCUUAAAUCCAGAGUGGGCCGGGCAUGGUGGCUCAUGCCUGUAAUCCUAGCACUUUGGGAGGCCAAGGCAGAUGCAUCACCUGAGGUCAGGAGUUCAAGAGCAGCAUGACCAACAUGGUGAAACCCCAUCUCUACUGAAAAUACAAAAAUUAGCCGGGCGUGGUGGUGUGUGCCUGUAGUCCCAGAUACUUCGGAGGCUGAGAUAGGAGAAUUGCUUGAACCUGGGAGGUGGAGGUUAUGUGAGCCAAGAUCACGCCACUGCACUCUAGCCUGGGCGACAGGGCGAGACUCCAUCUCAAAAAAAAAAAAAAAAAAAAAUCCAGAGUGGUUGGUAGUCAAGACAAAAAGCUAGAUUAUUUUUGUUAGUCUGGGAACUAAAAAAAAUAGUUGUAACUUUGAAGCCUUUUUAUGGAUCAACAUGAAGUUUGAGGGAUCUCAAACAGAAAGGGCAUCCUGGUGGCAAAGGUUAAUCAUUACCAGACUGCAAGAGUAGUUUCAAUGGCAAGAAAGCAGCAACAGAAUCAAUGAAAACAAAGCAAUGAUUAGAAUGCCCUUUCCCCUUCUCCUCCUGACUUGUAGACACUGAUUGUCUUCCUUGGACUUAGGGAACCCCUUAGGUUCUUGAAAAAUUCAAUGAUGAGGCUAUAGUAGAUGGUCCCCAGGACACAGCACAAGAUUUUUUGAUAAACUGGACAUUUUGAAACCCAAAUAACUAAUUAGAAAAAUCAAACAUGUGAAACUACUUUAUCCCAUGCAUAGGGGUUAUACUGGAAAUAAAAUGUACAACAUUGGAAUCCUGAAGGAGAAAAGUCCUAAAAGUUUCAAUAUCAAGAAUCCUGCACCUGCUGCUACUUAUCUAGCCUUUUGCUUGAUUUCUGGCUGAUGAACUUGCACAACUCUUGAAAACUUAAAAACUUGAAAAUUUGUCACUUGAAAACUACUUGAACCAAACUAUGAAAUCUCACCUGAUAUAUAAGAUGCAAUUGUUACAAUUAUUUUAAACUUCAAUUUACUGUUUUGCUCUAUCAAAAGAAAGUUUCAACUCUGUUAGUUGAGUACACACAUCCUAAACAAGUUUCUGAGAAUGCUUCUGUCUAGUUUUUAUGGGAAGAUAUUUCCUUUUUCACCUUAGGCCUCAAUGCGCUCCAAAUGUGCACUUCCAGAUACUACAAAAAGAGUGUUUCAAACCUGCUCUAUGAAAGGGAAUGUUCAACUCUGUGACUUGAAUGCAAACAUCACAGAGAUGUUUCUGAGAAUGCUUCUGUCUAGAUUUUAUAUGAAGAUAUUCCCGUUUCCAACGAAAUCCUCAAAGCUAUCCAAAUAUCCACUUGCAGAUUCUACAAAAAGAGUGUUUCAAAACUGCUCUAUCAAAAGAAAGGUUCAAC